CCGACCGGCGCACGGGUGAGUAACGCGUAUGCAACUUACCUAUCAGAGGGGAUAACCCGGCGAAAGUCGGACUAAUACCGCAUGAAGCAGGGGCCCCGCAUGGGGAUAUUUGCUAAAGAUUCAUCGCUGAUAGAUAGGCAUGCGUUCCAUUAGGCAGUUGGCGGGGUAACGGCCCACCAAACCGACGAUGGAUAGGGGUUCUGAGAGGAAGGUCCCCCACAUUGGUACUGAGACACGGACCAAACUCCUACGGGAGGCAGCAG
Molecule: ribosomal RNA, 263 nt
Filed under: uncultured bacterium
Lineage: Bacteria
Description: partial 16S ribosomal RNA
Rfam family: Bacterial small subunit ribosomal RNA
Source: RNAcentral